Molecule: ribosomal RNA, 252 nt
Filed under: uncultured bacterium
Lineage: Bacteria
Description: partial 16S ribosomal RNA
Rfam family: Bacterial small subunit ribosomal RNA
Source: RNAcentral
UACGUAGGGGGCAAGCGUUGUCCGGAAUUAUUGGGCGUAAAGCGCGCGCAGGCGGUCAUUUAAGUCUGGUGUUUAAUCCCGGGGCUCAACCCCGGGUCGCAUGGGAAACUGGAUGACUGGAGUGCAGAAGAGGAAAGUGGAAUUCCACGUGUAGCGGUGAAAUGCGUAGAGAUGUGGAGGAACACCAGUGGCGAAGGCGACUUUCUGGGCUGUAACUGACGCUGAGGCGCGAAAGCGUGGGGAGCAAACAGG